RNAcentral lists this ribosomal RNA (443 nucleotides) under uncultured bacterium. RNAcentral's name for it is "partial 16S ribosomal RNA". It matches the Rfam family "Bacterial small subunit ribosomal RNA", at positions 338 to 795 of the family's 1533-position model. The record is from RNAcentral.
CCUACGGGAGGCAGCAGUGGGGAAUAUUGGACAAUGGCGGGAACCCUGAACCAGCGACGCCGCGUGAGUGAAGAAGUAUCUCGGUAUGUAAAGCUCUAUCAGCAGGGGAGCAAGAAAUGACGGUACCUGACUCAGAAGCCCCGGCUAACUACGUGCCAGCAGCAGCGGUAAUACGUAGGGGGCAAGCGUUAUCCGGAUUUACUGGGUGUAAAGGGUGCGUAGACGGCGAUGCAAGUCUGAAGUGAAAGGCGGGGGCCCAACCCCCGGACUGCUUUUGAAACUGUCUGGCUGGAGUGCAGGAGAGGUAAGUGGAAUGCCUAGUGUAGCGGUGAAAUGCGUAGAUAUUAGGAGGAACACCAGUGGCGAAGGCGGCUUACUGGACUGUAACUGACGUUGAUGCUCGAAAGCGUGGGGAGCAAACAGGAUUAGAUACCCCUGUAGUC